GGGGAUUUAGCUCAGUGGUAGAGCGCUUGCCUGGCAAGCACAAGGCCCUGGGUUCGGUCCCUAGCUCCG
RNAcentral lists this transfer RNA (69 nucleotides) under Rattus norvegicus (Norway rat). It matches the Rfam family "tRNA". Rfam says of the family: Transfer RNA (tRNA) molecules are approximately 80 nucleotides in length. Their secondary structure includes four short double-helical elements and three loops (D, anti-codon, and T loops). The record is from Rfam by way of RNAcentral. Lineage: Eukaryota; Metazoa; Chordata; Mammalia; Rodentia; Muridae.